CGUGAUCUAUCUAGUCCGACAACGAUACAUAUUACUUGUGUACCGCGUUUUCAGACAAGUCUCCUUCGAUAUGAGCUGCGGUGCAUUAUACACGGCAUCGAAGGUGCACGUUGAUGUAUUUGUGUGCGAACACCAACCAGAACAUUCAGAAAAUAGCCCAGUUUUACCCCUGCAGCUAGCUACAAGCGCAACGUUCUCACCCUCACUCGGCCAAACAGCAUGUACCCCGAAGCGACGCAACUAGGCUCAAGGACGAAUCGAGUGCAUGCGUCGCAGAGAUACUCAGAUGCGAUGCGUCCAGCGUCUCCGUGUCAACUUACUUGCAACGCCCAUGACCAUUGCAGGCGCAGCUGACCGCGGGAAACCACUUCUCGGGAUGCUAGUCCAGCGGCCUCCAUCGUAAAGGUGCCAUUCCUAGUGCCUCCAAUUCCAAACCUACACUCCAUUAACAUGGGUAUGAAUAAUCACAAAAUGUUGUCGGUCAAAAUAGUUGUUAGUCUUCUACUAUGAUAGGCAUAAAAUGAGGUC
This 528-nucleotide long non-coding RNA is filed under the name Hordeum vulgare. Its description in RNAcentral is "long non-coding RNA (HVUL_LNC014968)". Lineage: Eukaryota; Viridiplantae; Streptophyta; Magnoliopsida; Poales; Poaceae. The record is from RNAcentral.